UGGGGAAUUUUGGACAAUGGGCGAAAGCCUGAUCCAGCAAUGCCGCGUGUGUGAAGAAGGCCUUCGGGUUGUAAAGCACUUUUGUCCGGAAAGAAAUCCUUGGCUCUAAUACAGUCGGGGGAUGACGGUACCGGAAGAAUAAGCACCGGCUAACUACGUGCCAGCAGCCGCGGUAAUACGUAGGGUGCAAGCGUUAAUCGGAAUUACUGGGCGUAAAGCGUGCGCAGGCGGUUUGCUAAGACCGAUGUGAAAUCCCCGGGCUCAACCUGGGAACUGCAUUGGUGACUGGCAGGCUAGAGUAUGGCAGAGGGGGGUAGAAUUCCACGUGUAGCAGUGAAAUGCGUAGAGAUGUGGAGGAAUACCGAUGGCGAAGGCAGCCCCCUGGGCCAAUACUGACGCUCAUGCACGAAAGCGUGGGGAGCAAACAGGAUUAGAUACCCUGGUAGUCCACGCCCUAAACGAUGUCAACUAGUUGUUGGGGAUUCAUUUCCUAGUAACGUAGCUAACGCGUGAAGUUGACCGCCUGGGGAGUACGGUCGCAAGAUUAAAACUCAAAUGAAUUGACGGGGUCAUAGCUGUUUCCU
This 584-nucleotide ribosomal RNA is filed under the name uncultured bacterium. RNAcentral describes it as "partial 16S ribosomal RNA". It matches the Rfam family "Bacterial small subunit ribosomal RNA", at positions 355 to 1375 of the family's 1533-position model. The record is from RNAcentral.